Molecule: ribosomal RNA, 2930 nt
Filed under: Escherichia coli
Lineage: Bacteria; Pseudomonadati; Pseudomonadota; Gammaproteobacteria; Enterobacterales; Enterobacteriaceae
Description: bacterial LSU rRNA
Rfam family: Bacterial large subunit ribosomal RNA
Source: RNAcentral
GGGUUGUGAGGUUAAGCGACUAAGCGUACACGGUGGAUGCCCUGGCAGUCAGAGGCGAUGAAGGACGUGCUAAUCUGCGAUAAGCGUCGGUAAGGUGAUAUGAACCGUUAUAACCGGCGAUUUCCGAAUGGGGAAACCCAGUGUGAUUCGUCACACUAUCAUUAACUGAAUCCAUAGGUUAAUGAGGCGAACCGGGGGAACUGAAACAUCUAAGUACCCCGAGGAAAAGAAAUCAACCGAGAUUCCCCCAGUAGCGGCGAGCGAACGGGGAGCAGCCCAGAGCCUGAAUCAGUGUGUGUGUUAGUGGAAGCGUCUGGAAAGGCGCGCGAUACAGGGUGACAGCCCCGUACACAAAAAUGCACAUGCUGUGAGCUCGAUGAGUAGGGCGGGACACGUGGUAUCCUGUCUGAAUAUGGGGGGACCAUCCUCCAAGGCUAAAUACUCCUGACUGACCGAUAGUGAACCAGUACCGUGAGGGAAAGGCGAAAAGAACCCCGGCGAGGGGAGUGAAAAAGAACCUGAAACCGUGUACGUACAAGCAGUGGGAGCACGCUUAGGCGUGUGACUGCGUACCUUUUGUAUAAUGGGUCAGCGACUUAUAUUCUGUAGCAAGGUUAACCGAAUAGGGGAGCCGAAGGGAAACCGAGUCUUAACUGGGCGUUAAGUUGCAGGGUAUAGACCCGAAACCCGGUGAUCUAGCCAUGGGCAGGUUGAAGGUUGGGUAACACUAACUGGAGGACCGAACCGACUAAUGUUGAAAAAUUAGCGGAUGACUUGUGGCUGGGGGUGAAAGGCCAAUCAAACCGGGAGAUAGCUGGUUCUCCCCGAAAGCUAUUUAGGUAGCGCCUCGUGAAUUCAUCUCCGGGGGUAGAGCACUGUUUCGGCAAGGGGGUCAUCCCGACUUACCAACCCGAUGCAAACUGCGAAUACCGGAGAAUGUUAUCACGGGAGACACACGGCGGGUGCUAACGUCCGUCGUGAAGAGGGAAACAACCCAGACCGCCAGCUAAGGUCCCAAAGUCAUGGUUAAGUGGGAAACGAUGUGGGAAGGCCCAGACAGCCAGGAUGUUGGCUUAGAAGCAGCCAUCAUUUAAAGAAAGCGUAAUAGCUCACUGGUCGAGUCGGCCUGCGCGGAAGAUGUAACGGGGCUAAACCAUGCACCGAAGCUGCGGCAGCGACGCUUAUGCGUUGUUGGGUAGGGGAGCGUUCUGUAAGCCUGUGAAGGUGUACUGUGAGGUAUGCUGGAGGUAUCAGAAGUGCGAAUGCUGACAUAAGUAACGAUAAAGCGGGUGAAAAGCCCGCUCGCCGGAAGACCAAGGGUUCCUGUCCAACGUUAAUCGGGGCAGGGUGAGUCGACCCCUAAGGCGAGGCCGAAAGGCGUAGUCGAUGGGAAACAGGUUAAUAUUCCUGUACUUGGUGUUACUGCGAAGGGGGGACGGAGAAGGCUAUGUUGGCCGGGCGACGGUUGUCCCGGUUUAAGCGUGUAGGCUGGUUUUCCAGGCAAAUCCGGAAAAUCAAGGCUGAGGCGUGAUGACGAGGCACUACGGUGCUGAAGCAACAAAUGCCCUGCUUCCAGGAAAAGCCUCUAAGCAUCAGGUAACAUCAAAUCGUACCCCAAACCGACACAGGUGGUCAGGUAGAGAAUACCAAGGCGCUUGAGAGAACUCGGGUGAAGGAACUAGGCAAAAUGGUGCCGUAACUUCGGGAGAAGGCACGCUGAUAUGUAGGUGAAGUCCCUCGCGGAUGGAGCUGAAAUCAGUCGAAGAUACCAGCUGGCUGCAACUGUUUAUUAAAAACACAGCACUGUGCAAACACGAAAGUGGACGUAUACGGUGUGACGCCUGCCCGGUGCCGGAAGGUUAAUUGAUGGGGUUAGCGCAAGCGAAGCUCUUGAUCGAAGCCCCGGUAAACGGCGGCCGUAACUAUAACGGUCCUAAGGUAGCGAAAUUCCUUGUCGGGUAAGUUCCGACCUGCACGAAUGGCGUAAUGAUGGCCAGGCUGUCUCCACCCGAGACUCAGUGAAAUUGAACUCGCUGUGAAGAUGCAGUGUACCCGCGGCAAGACGGAAAGACCCCGUGAACCUUUACUAUAGCUUGACACUGAACAUUGAGCCUUGAUGUGUAGGAUAGGUGGGAGGCUUUGAAGUGUGGACGCCAGUCUGCAUGGAGCCGACCUUGAAAUACCACCCUUUAAUGUUUGAUGUUCUAACGUGGACCCGUAAUCCGGGUUGCGGACAGUGUCUGGUGGGUAGUUUGACUGGGGCGGUCUCCUCCUAAAGAGUAACGGAGGAGCACGAAGGUUGGCUAAUCCUGGUCGGACAUCAGGAGGUUAGUGCAAUGGCAUAAGCCAGCUUGACUGCGAGCGUGACGGCGCGAGCAGGUGCGAAAGCAGGUCAUAGUGAUCCGGUGGUUCUGAAUGGAAGGGCCAUCGCUCAACGGAUAAAAGGUACUCCGGGGAUAACAGGCUGAUACCGCCCAAGAGUUCAUAUCGACGGCGGUGUUUGGCACCUCGAUGUCGGCUCAUCACAUCCUGGGGCUGAAGUAGGUCCCAAGGGUAUGGCUGUUCGCCAUUUAAAGUGGUACGCGAGCUGGGUUUAGAACGUCGUGAGACAGUUCGGUCCCUAUCUGCCGUGGGCGCUGGAGAAUUGAGGGGGGCUGCUCCUAGUACGAGAGGACCGGAGUGGACGCAUCACUGGUGUUCGGGUUGUCAUGCCAAUGGCACUGCCCGGUAGCUAAAUGCGGAAGAGAUAAGUGCUGAAAGCAUCUAAGCACGAAACUUGCCCCGAGAUGAGUUCUCCCUGACUCCUUGAGAGUCCUGAAGGAACGUUGAAGACGACGACGUUGAUAGGCCGGGUGUGUAAGCGCAGCGAUGCGUUGAGCUAACCGGUACUAAUGAACCGUGAGGCUUAACCUUACAACGCCGAAGCUGUU